AAUACAAAUGUAAGAAGAAGAAGAAGAAGACAGAGCUGCUUUUUCAUCCACAGCGAGUAAAUAGUGAACCUCCAGGAGAGAAACAAACUAAAGUAUCGAUCAUAUACCACUACCAACGUUUGGAUCGAUAUCUGCAUCGAUCUGCACACCCUUGUCUCCUGGAUCGUAGCUGAGAUCAGCGUGAACCACGUGGGUCUCUGCUCCCUGACCUGUUUCCUGUUUGGAAAGAGUUCCAGCUUCAUCACGGAGUUUCUCUCGGUUUGUGGGCUCAUCUAAAGGACCAACGUGGAUCGAGAAGUCCGCGCUCUCAGGAGGCCGACAAUUUCGUUGAAGAAAGAAGUGGAAGAAAAAAAUGCAACCGUGAUGAGUUUGGGAAAGAUUUUACUGUGAAAGCUUCCCUAAAAAUGCAUCAGGUCAUCGACACCGGAGAGAGACCAUUCAGCUGUGGAGACUGUGGAAAGUCUUUUACCAGGUCUGGAAGCUUAAAAAAACACCAACUCAUCCACAGUGGAGAGACACCGUUCAGCUGUGGAGACUGUGGAAAGUCUUUUACCACGUCUGGAAGCUUAAAAAGACACCAACUAAUCCACACUGGUGAGAGACCGUUCAGCUGUGGAGACUGUGGAAAGUCUUUUAUCCACUCUGGACACUUAAAAAGACACCAACUCAUCCACACUGGAGAGAGACCAUUCAGCUGUGGAGACUGUGGAAAGUCUUUUACCACGUCUGGACACUUAAAAAGACACCAACUCAUCCACACUGGAGAGAGACCGUUCAGCUGUGACGAGUGUGGAAAGUCUUUUACCACGUCUGGAAACUUAAAAUCACACCAACUCAUCCACAGUGGAGUUAAAGCGUACACCUGUGAUCAGUGUGGCAGAGCUUUUACUCAAGGUAACAACUUACAGAGUCAUCUAGUUACCCACUCUGGAAUUAAGGCGUACAGCUGUGACAUUUGUGGAAAAACUUUCAGCCGGAUAGACAGCCGUAACAUUCACCUACGCAUUCACACCAGACAUGAUGUGUACAGCUGUGAUCAGUGUGGUAAACAGUUUACUACAAACACAGAGUUACGACGUCACAUGUUUACCCACACUGAGGAACGACCUUAUAAAUGUGACCUUUGUGAGAAGACUUUUAAAUCUCCACAUUACCUGAAAGCACACCAACAGAUCCACACCAGAAAGACUCUACAAGUGCAGUUACUGUGAGAAGCAGAGCGACACAGAUGGAUCAAGUUCCCAACCCUGUCAUCGCUGUGGGAAAGACUUUUGUUGUGACCUUUGUGGAAAGACUUUAAGUCAUUGAAGGACUCUGAAAAUACAUCAACGUAGACACACUGGAGACAAAAUGAACUACUGUAAAGAAUGCGGGAGAGGCUUCACCACUUCAAAGGACUUCAAACAAUAUGAACUCCUUCACAGUGGCGUUAAAAAGCAUGUCUGCGAUCAGUGUGGGUCAUCCUUCAUCAGUGCACGUCAGCUUGAAAAGCAUAAACGAGUCCACACAUGAGAGAAACCAUACAAGUGCAGACACUGUGACAAAACCUUUUCACAAUCAUGUGAUCACAGUAAGCAUGAACGCAGACACAUGAAAGAGAACUUCAUCUGUGAAAGAGUUUGAGUAAUCUCAGUUCAUAGUCCACUCAGAAACGAUUCCAUGUUACAAAUAAACUGUUACGUCUUGAUUCCCGCUUUUACGUUAAUCUUGUAAACAGUACAUUUGCAUAACGACUGAAACCGGCCCAAUGAAUGAACAAUGGGCUGUGAGGUCAAUUUCUUCAUCAUUAAUAUGCAAAUUCUUAUGAGCAUUGAUCAACAACCACUGGUCAAUGGCCAUGAGUACCAUUCACAGAGUAAAAAUUUGCAUAAUGAUUAUGAAGUUUACUGUUACCAAUGUUCAAAAACAUUUACUAAAUUAUCUUCUCUGUGCAAACAUCAGCGUGAUGCAGGACUGACAUCAUUGCCAUCUCUGGAUCACAGUGAAUCUGCAGAGACAGAAAGAUCCUCUUCUGGUUUCAGGGUCAGACUUAAACCCUUGAGAUCAGGCUCCACAGAGUUCAGGUGGAGUCUUCUGUAAAGAUCUGAUGAGGCAGCUAUGAAUGAAAAUGUGCCUCUUGUUACAUUUUAAGCUUUCUAAACUGUUCUACUGUAGUGUUUGUGUUGAGC
Molecule: long non-coding RNA, 2168 nt
Organism: Pelmatolapia mariae (spotted tilapia)
Lineage: Eukaryota; Metazoa; Chordata; Actinopteri; Cichliformes; Cichlidae
Exons: 3
Source: RefSeq, a predicted model, not a curated record